UGGGGAAUAUUGCACAAUGGGCGAAAGCCUGAUGCAGCAACGCCGCGUGAGUGAUGAAGGUCUUCGGAUUGUAAAGCUCUGUCUUUUGGGACGAUAAUGACGGUACCAAAGGAGGAAGCCACGGCUAACUACGUGCCAGCAGCCGCGGUAAUACGUAGGUGGCGAGCGUUGUCCGGAUUUACUGGGCGUAAAGGGUGCGUAGGCGGAUGUUUAAGUGAGAUGUGAAAUACCCGGGCUUAACUUGGGUGCUGCAUUUCAAACUGGAUAUCUAGAGUGCAGGAGAGGAGAAUGGAAUUCCUAGUGUAGCGGUGAAAUGCGUAGAGAUUAGGAAGAACACCAGUGGCGAAGGCGAUUCUCUGGACUGUAACUGACGCUGAGGCACGAAAGGCGUGGGUAGCAAACAGGAU
RNAcentral lists this ribosomal RNA (407 nucleotides) under uncultured bacterium. Its description in RNAcentral is "partial 16S ribosomal RNA". It matches the Rfam family "Bacterial small subunit ribosomal RNA", at positions 355 to 778 of the family's 1533-position model. The record is from RNAcentral.